RNAcentral lists this transfer RNA (54 nucleotides) under Sinentomon erythranum. RNAcentral describes it as "tRNA-Thr". The record is from RNAcentral. Lineage: Eukaryota; Metazoa; Arthropoda; Protura; Sinentomata; Sinentomidae.
GUCUUUUUAGUUUAUUAAAAUGUUAAUUUUGUAAAUUAGAGUUUUUGAGGCAUG